UUAUUGAUUAUGACGUACUUGUACUGAUUGAGAUUUUAACACGAAGUGAGUGGCGAACGGGUGAGUAACACGUGGGUAACCUGCCCAGAAGUAGGGGAUAACACCUGGAAACAGAUGCUAAUACCGUAUAACAGAGAAAACCGCAUGGUUUUCUUUUAAAAGAUGGCUCUGCUAUCACUUCUGGAUGGACCCGCGGCGUAUUAGCUAGUUGGUGAGGUAAAGGCUCACCAAGGCAGUGAUACGUAGCCGACCUGAGAGGGUAAUCGGCCACAUUGGGACUGAGACACGGCCCAGACUCCUACGGGAGGCAGCAGUAGGGAAUCUUCCACAAUGGACGCAAGUCUGAUGGAGCAACGCCGCGUGAGUGAAGAAGGGUUUCGGCUCGUAAAGCUCUGUUGUUAAAGAAGAACGUGGGUAAGAGUAACUGUUUACCCAGUGACGGUAUUUAACCAGAAAGCCACGGCUAACUACGUGCCAGCAGCCGCGGUAAUACGUAGGUGGCAAGCGUUAUCCGGAUUUAUUGGGCGUAAAGCGAGCGCAGGCGGUCUUUUAAGUCUAAUGUGAAAGCCUUCGGCUCAACCGAAGAAGUGCAUUGGAAACUGGGAGACUUGAGUGCAGAAGAGGACAGUGGAACUCCAUGUGUGAACCC
RNAcentral lists this ribosomal RNA (649 nucleotides) under Pediococcus pentosaceus. Its description in RNAcentral is "bacterial SSU rRNA". It matches the Rfam family "Bacterial small subunit ribosomal RNA", at positions 64 to 682 of the family's 1533-position model. Lineage: Bacteria; Bacillati; Bacillota; Bacilli; Lactobacillales; Lactobacillaceae. The record is from RNAcentral.